ACUACGGGAGGCAGCAGUGAGGAAUAUUGGUCAAUGGGCGCGAGCCUGAACCAGCCAAGUCGCGUGAGGGAAGACGGUCCUAUGGAUUGUAAACCUCUUUUGUCGGGGAGCAAAAGACGCCACGCGUGGCGUUCCGAGAGUACCCGAAGAAAAAGCAUCGGCUAACUCCGUGCCAGCAGCCGCGGUAAUAAGGAGGAUGCGAGCGGUAUCCGGUUUUAUUGGGUUUAAAGGGUGCGAAGGCGGAAGAUCAGGUCGGCGGUAAAAUUGAGAGGCUCAACCUCUUCGAGCCGUUGAAACUGGUUGUCUUGAGUGAGCGAGAAGUAUGCGGAAUGCGUGGUGUAGCGGUGAAAUGCAUAGAUAUCACGCAGAACUCCGAUUGCGAAGGCAGCAUACCGGCGCUCAACUGACGCUCAUGCACGAAAGUGUGGGUAUCGAACAGGAUUAGAUACCCUAGUAGUC
RNAcentral lists this ribosomal RNA (459 nucleotides) under uncultured bacterium. RNAcentral's name for it is "partial 16S ribosomal RNA". It matches the Rfam family "Bacterial small subunit ribosomal RNA", at positions 338 to 795 of the family's 1533-position model. The record is from RNAcentral.